ACAGAUUUGCUGCUGGUGCUGGCCACGUGUAGUAUCUGAUCUUAAAAGCUUAAUAUCUGAUAUGUCCUUGAAGAGAAGAUUUUAUAUUAAACAGACUUUGGGGCAUGGGAGUUGGACCUGGAGCUUGCUCUCUCUGCUUCAUGCAUUGUCCCAGUACUGCAGUGACUCUGGGAAUGGUGCACUGAUA
Small nuclear RNA from Lonchura striata (white-rumped munia), 187 nucleotides. Its record names the gene U2. It matches the Rfam family "U2 spliceosomal RNA". From Rfam's summary of the family: U2 is a small nuclear RNA (snRNA) component of the spliceosome (involved in pre-mRNA splicing). Complementary binding between U2 snRNA (in an area lying towards the 5' end but 3' to hairpin I) and the branchpoint sequence (BPS) of the intron results the bulging out of an unpaired adenosine, on the BPS, which initiates a nucleophilic attack at the intronic 5' splice site, thus starting the first of two transesterification reactions that mediate splicing. The record is from Ensembl. Lineage: Eukaryota; Metazoa; Chordata; Aves; Passeriformes; Estrildidae.